AGGUGGAACAUAGUUUUUCAAUUUAAAAAUGUAAAAUAAAGCUCUUAGAUUGGUGGUUGCCAGAGGCAAAUCCUGGGAGACAGGAAAAACCCUUAGUUUGCUUGCUUCAAUACAUUGAAUUUGGUCUUUUUAGAGCCGAACCCACGACAUAUGAAGGUUCCCAGGAUAGGGGUCGAAGCAGAGCUGGAGCCACCCGUCUAUACCACAGCCACAGCAACAUGGGAUCCAAGCCACCUCUUCAACCUACACCACAGCUCACGGCAAUGCUGGAUCCUCAACCCGCUGAGCAAGGCCAGGGAUCAAACCCGCGUCCUCAUGGAUGCUAGUCAGAUUCAUUGCUGCUGAGCCACGAGGAGAAAUCCUGAAUUUGUAAGAGAGAAAUCCUUUUGUAAGAAUUAGACAAAAUGAAAAAUAAAGAACAUGAACAGUUCCUGCAAAAAAGGAGUAAUAUACCUCAUUUCUUAUCCAGGAAUAGCAACAAUAAGGUGUUCAAACCCACGAUGACUAAGUGUUUCCAGUAUGAGGCGUAAAUCCAACAGAAAUGUGUGCUCAGAGUACCAGGACACGAACACGAUCGUGUUUGUGGCAACACUAUUAAAAUUUCCCGAAAGGGGGCAAAGAUCCAUGUCGUUUAAUAAUCCAAAGAAAAAAACAUAUGGUGUACGCAUGACCUAUAGUCCUAUGUAGCUGCAUGACUUGAUGAACGACAGCAACAUAAGUAAAUGUAGAAACAAAAUAUGACAAAUGAGCUAAAAGGGAAUACACACAGUGUGAUUCUAUUUGUGAGACCAAAAAAAUGAACUCAGAUUUACUUGGGCAUUCUGUAUUUUAUUCAGCAGACGUCCCCUCAGGAAGUAGAUAUAUCUUUGAUGUACUUGGAUUCUGAGAUGGACGGAUGGAUGGAUAGGUGAUCAAACAGGAUGCGUAAAGUCAUGGUGGAAUUUAAGUGAUAUACAGGCAGAUUUUCACCCACUGCCUGUAUCAAUGUGCUUGGAUAUAUGCGUAAACAUGUUCAGAGAGGGAUGCAGAAAAUGCCCCCCUGGGUCAUUAUUUUGGCAUCUCUCUUUCAGCUGAUUCAUUUUCUAGGGUCCUGACUGAGAGCUGGGGAGAGAGGAAAGGACAGGACUCCAGCUGGCCUCCAACCCCCCCUCCCAAUGCCUCAGGGACCACCUGUGCCGAGGAUACAAGGGUCCCACUGGAGCAGCUCUGAAAGCAGAGUACUCCAGGUGGUUCUACAGGAAGCAAGCACAGGUGCCUUGGACCCAGGGAAAUACUGGCCGGGACAGAAGCCUCGUGGUUUAAAAAUAACAGUGGAGAAAACUGCCAUCACACUAGUGGAAAGAAAAUUCUUAAAACAAAAAAGUAAUAAGAAAAAAGAUAUUCCACCAGAAGGAAAGACCCUGGAAGAAAAGAAGAAAAAAGAAAGAAAAAGAAGAAGAAGAAAAAAAAAGUCGUAUUUUUCAUCCCUUGGGCUUAGUGUUGGUAGCAGUCAUUACAAUGUUUACAUUUUUAUAAAUUUAUGUGUAUACUGUUUGAUAUCAAGACUUCAGCAUAAAGGAACUGCAAAUCUAAUUUUUAAAGAGUUUAGUAAAAAAGAAAAACACAUGGUCUAUAAUUUGAAUUGCUUUUCUCUAAAAACUACCUCUCUUUUGUCAUCCAGUGAAAAAACUUGGGAGCAGUAACAAGGCAGAAGUCACGAGCCUUGCUAGAAUAAGUAUUCCAUUUCUUACUAAACAUCCAAGUGCUCCGUUGAGAAAGGGCUGAAUCUAGGAUGCGGCAGGAGAUGUAAGAAGAUAAACCCAUGUCAUCCUGCCUUGGCUGAAAACAAAAAAAUCUGUCAGAGACCACUGAGGUCAUGUCAAAGGAGGCCAACUUGCAGUGGCUCCCGCUGGCCAUAGAGAGGACAAUGUCAACCAAAGAAUAGCACCCACACAAAAAU
Molecule: long non-coding RNA, 1939 nt
Filed under: Sus scrofa (pig)
Lineage: Eukaryota; Metazoa; Chordata; Mammalia; Artiodactyla; Suidae
Description: lncRNA (ENSSSCG00000045523.1)
Source: RNAcentral